This 283-nucleotide long non-coding RNA is filed under the name Mytilus galloprovincialis (Mediterranean mussel). The record is from RNAcentral. Lineage: Eukaryota; Metazoa; Mollusca; Bivalvia; Mytilida; Mytilidae.
UGUAGAUAGAAACGCCAUUUAGGGAGCUACCAUUUUAUUUUUAUGGGGGGGGGGGCUAGGAUGAAAUUUGAAAAAAAUAGGCAGGACAGGAGUUUUGAGUAAAAAAAAAGGCAGGAUGUGACACUUGCAAAAAAAAAAAAAAGUCAGGACGACAAUUUAGGUAAAAAAAAGUCAGGAUAAAAAAAAAAAAAAAGGCAGGACCGAUUAGAGUGAAAAAUAAAAAGGCAGGACAGAUUACAGCUAAAAAAAAUGCAGGACAAAAUUUUUCAUCCUAGCCCCCCCA